Molecule: long non-coding RNA, 3894 nt
Organism: Chinchilla lanigera (long-tailed chinchilla)
Lineage: Eukaryota; Metazoa; Chordata; Mammalia; Rodentia; Chinchillidae
Source: Ensembl
AGCCAGCCCAAUGGAUUUGAUGGAAAUUGAUUCAUUUUGUGAAGUGGCCACAGACAAACGGUUCUAGGUUUUGGGCUGUGUUCCGAGAAGCCAAAAGUGUCUGCAGCUGCUUGAAGAGAAGCCGGUGCUCCUUGUGAUACCAACCUCUGGCAACCAAGUGUCCGUGACACAACCCGAACAAAAAUCAUCCCUGCGACGCAGCACACACUUGAGUUUCCUCUAGCCAGGCAUCUGGGUAAAUUCCUAGCUUGUGUUUGCACUUGAGGCAGAAAUACUAAGCUGGCGUUGUGAAGGUGGUCCAGCCCCUUUCGGGAUACUUCCUCUAUAAAAGCCAUUCAUUAAACACUUACUGAGCCCCCAAGACAAAGAACGCUUAGACAGAACUGAUGACUGACCCUUCUAGACUCUGUCCCUUGGUGUGAUGUAAGGCUGUGACUGUUGGUCAACCCUACUUGAAAAUAAGCAGAAAGAGAAAACAAGCUGUGAGGCUAGGGUGUGGUCGCCUUUGGACUCCACAUCGAUUGCCCUCAGGAAGAAUCCCUUCCCAGCGGAAAGGGAACACUGAGCCGUGCUUUGGAAAACAGUGGAUCCUGGCUCUUGGAGAAGGCAUUAAAAAUAUUUCUGUGUGACAACAUGCAAAUCCAGACAAAAGUCAGCAUCAGCUUUUCAUUUAGCAGUUCAUCGAGUAGGCUAUUUAUGGACUGGGGCUUCUGAUUUGCAAUACAUCAUCUCAGGGUUCAGUGUUAUCUUUUGAUUUCUUUCCAGCUGAACAGGCUGAGUCGUGUGAAUACCUCUGUCAGCCUACGCGGUUGGCUAUUCUCACACGAGAAGUAAUCUAAGAGCCCACUGAGCACGUCUUCGGAUAGCACUCUGGAAGCUGGCAGCUGAUGUGCUUUGCCAGCAAGGGGGGCGGGGAAGGUGGCGGCAGGCGAUGGCCAUGGCGGUGGUUGUGGCUUGGGUCCCUUUGGUUAUGUCAGGACACCCUUCGUGCUUGGAGUCCCGUGUCCUCCAGGCCUUGGUUGUUUGCCCUGCCAAGGAAGGAUGUUUCAAUGGCUACGCAGAAUGUGGACGGAGAAGUGGAGACCAUCCGUGAUGUUCAGAGGACAGAAAGAAAUUUCAAUUCUCGGACAUACAGAAAUAUCCCGGCAGGACACAGCUUCAGUGACACCCAGAAGAUGUCUGCAUCAGCAUGGGUUUUGUUUAAAAUGCAUUUUAUUUCGCGGACUCCUCUCAUGUGGAUGAGCGAUGACCAAAUCACCACAUUCUCUACACAGAGGCCCAAGUGUUUUCCAUACCCUUGCUUGGGACUGUAUUCCAUCUCUCUUUUGUUUAUAUUAAAGCUUUUCAUAAUCUAUCUUCCAAUCUGCUCCUAUUUUGAAUUUAUGAUUAUAGAAUUGGAGUUAGGAGAGAAAAAAACAAGAACCAUAUUGUUUUUCUUUAAAUUACAAAAAAAGAAAGAGAAACAAAUAACCAUUUUUUAAAAUAAAAAACAGAAAAGUUGAUAAGUAUGAAAUGUAUACGUCUCUGCUGGGAUUUUCCAAUAAUUUUGAUGCCGGCCUGUGUCAUUCCCAUAUGGAAAUCUGAAAUCAUAUGGCUCGGUGAUUAUUAUGUCAAUUUGGGAAAAAAGAAAGUGCCUUAAUUUCUGGUUUUGAAGGAAUCAUCCACUCAGAAUAUCUAUCCUUUCACUGUAGAUGGUACCAGGAGGUAAAACCUGACCGACGAAGGCAGUGAAUGCCUAGCACACCCUCUUCGCAUUCACAUUUUCUUUGAGCCACAAACCAGUCCUGUUCUCCCUGUUUCUCUCUGUGUUCCUGAGUUUCCAGGCCCCCUUCUCAGGCUGUCAGUCGCAGGGACAUCUUCCACCAGCUCCGGAACAGUGAAAAACGGUGGCCGCUUUGAGCCAGUUUGUCUGGGGUGGUUUGUCACCUAAGAAAAGUGAACUAAUAGAGCCAUGAUGAUUCUAUUCUCAGCUUGUUUUUAAUAAUCUCACCGCACAGCAGCUUUAUCCCAAGCUUGUUCUCUUGAAUGAAAAUCUCCAAAGAUGUUAAUUGGCAUUCUUUUUAGUGAAAUAAUUUUGCAUAUGUACCCCCCAUGCAUAUUUAUUUAAACUAUACAGCUGUACUGUGGUUGAUACAUAUUUCUAUAGUAUCUAUGAUGCUUGGUUUCUUUUUUUAAGAUAAAAAGUUAAUACAGGGAUUGUAAUUUUUUUUUGUUUCCUCAUUUCAAUAGGUCCUCAUCUGUACCUUCUGGGUUAUAUUCAUUCCACUCGGGGCCUGUUCUGAAAUGCCAAAAUCUUUCCCAUAAUCACCUCUGAAGCAUCUUUCCACACAUGCUCCAUUUGUGCAAUUUGUUUUUAAAACUAAACUUAGAGCUUGAUUUAUUAUAAUUGCUGAUUACUGCAGAGUCCUGUAGGGAAUGGAUCUUUUCUAUCGACCGACCUUAAAUAAGUCCCCUUUGGUAAAAAGUAUCAUUCCUGUCUCUAGCAAACAGAUGCACCUGCAAUAUGUACUGGCUUGUGGUGCCUUUGGCAUCGCCAUUUCUUCUUGCUAUAUUUAACCCUUUUGUGUGUUUGUAAAUAUCCUGUGUCUUUUCCUUCUUUAAUACUGAUUUUAGAAAGGAGUGUUAUGGUUGAGGAUACGGGAUACCUGUUUGAUGUCAGGAGGUUCUGAAAUACCUCACUUAGCGGUAGCUGUACUUUUGGUAUCUGGGGAUUAAGUCUGCAGAGUGAGAAACCCAGAGUUGUUUCUAAACAGAUGAGCAUUCAUCAGUCGCAGUGCAGUCUGGUUGAUGUUAAUGUUACCCGCUGCCCGUGGGGCAGAGCCAUCCCAUUCUUCAGCGCUCAGUCGAUGCCUAGGCCCCAUGGCCCGGGCCGGGGUCAGCCUGGUGGUUAGAGAACCACUGCAGGGCUGACUGCAGCAGGCGUGGCCCAGGGACACACUGCUCGGCCUGUCUGAGUUUUGGCCCCGCAGGGUGGUCGGGGAGACAGCAGUGCUUUUGGAAGUCACAGUCCGGUGGCUUGUGUCUACUGAGCUUCUCUGGGUUGAAGACCUUCCGCUUGAGACCUCGUCUUAACUGUCACAGCCAGUGAACGGGGAGAUGAGCGUCAUUUUCCCAUCUUACAUUUGUGGGAAUUGAAAGAGAAACAUGGCAUUUGCUCGGGUUAGAAAACUAAGGAAACAGAGCUAGAAUUUGAACUCCAGAACCGCGCCGUGCAGUGCGGCAGUCUUUACCUACAGAUGGCCGUUACACUCCAGCCACUUCGGUCCUUCCGUCUCAUCAGCACAUCUAAAGCCCUCCGGGUUUCAAUGUGGCCACCACGUUGCAGGGAAGAGCCGAGGACAUCUCUGUGUUCAGUGUGUCCUGCUGGGCACACUGAUGUUCAGAUGUUGACCGCGACAUGCUCUGCAAAGCCUGCACUUGGACCAUGGGAGCUCAUUCUUCCUUCCCAUCCAUUUCCUUCCUCACUCACUCCUUUAACCAAUGUACUGAGCGCCUACUAAGUGCAAGGAGCCCUGCUGCACUCUGUGGAGCUACCUUGCUUCAUUGCUGCCAAGGGCAGAUGAAGUGGGCAGGGAAGCAGAUUCUAAGUCCCAGAGGAAGCUGAAGUUGCCUUUGCUGUAGCAGAAUGAGCCUCUGCAUCCUCCAGGGCAGCGACUGUCACUCCUCUUGGAACCCUUCCUUCUCUCCCUUGUGUCCCCUCCCUGGUGCUUAGCCUGGGACAGCACCUGUCCAAAGUGAGCUCAGAGCCUCCUGUUACAGCACACACUGCCUGCUUUUGAGCGCCACCUGACUGGGACCCAUAAGCUUUGGGAACCCCCAGGCAGAGGAUUGUGGGAACCUAGGCAAGACAGAUAGUCUCGGCUCAACCAAUCAUGUAUUUUGACCAGAGCAGAA